GCUCAGGCCCGUUAAAGCCCCCCGGGCAGACGUUUCUGUUUAACCCCACGUAACGGCAACGUGAUCGGGGGGGGCUCCGCUUCUCCCAGCCCCGCUCCUGGCACUCCUCGCCGGGAGCCGCAGCCCGGCUCAGCCGCUCCUCAUCGGCUCCAGCCUCUGGGGGGGGCGGGGGGGGGGGGGCCUCAGCAUCCUGCCCCCCCCCCUCCCGGAUGCUGCCGCUGUCCCGGCGGCUCUCGGCUCCCGCUGCCGCUUAAGUCCUAAAGGAUGCAGAGGUGCGGAGGGAGCAAAACUCCGAGGGCACCGUCGGGGCUCAACAGGUCGGCAGCGGGCAGCCCGGUGUGCGCGGCUCCCUCCGCUUUCCAUUUUCCCUUUUUCUCCACCCCUCUCCCCCCCCCCUAGCGCCCCCCCCCCCCCCCCACACACACACACACCCCCCCCCCUCGCCUUCCCCGAGCCCCCUUCAUUAUUUCUGUUAUCACAAGGCAGCCUCCGUGCCCAAACGCCGGCAUGUGCGAGGCAAACAGAGCGCGAUUGUUCCGAGCCUGGGAACGCGCGGAGGGGGCGCGGAGGGGGCGCGGGGGCCGCCGCCCGCCGCCCCCCGCCCGGGCCCGCUCAGACGCGAUUGUGA
RNAcentral lists this long non-coding RNA (628 nucleotides) under Anas platyrhynchos (mallard). RNAcentral's name for it is "lncRNA (ENSAPLG00020008189.1)". The record is from RNAcentral. Lineage: Eukaryota; Metazoa; Chordata; Aves; Anseriformes; Anatidae.